CUAUCUUGGUCGGGGUGCCCCGUCAUUGGCGUUGGAACGCGAAUGGUACGGGCUGAGAUUAAACCCGCUGAACCUGAUCCGGCUUGGACCGGCGUAGGAAAUCGAGAUAUUCCGUAU
This 117-nucleotide non-coding RNA is filed under the name Marinobacterium lacunae. RNAcentral's name for it is "Marinobacterium sp. AK27 TPP riboswitch aptamer (THI element)". It matches the Rfam family "TPP riboswitch aptamer (THI element)". From Rfam's summary of the family: Vitamin B(1) in its active form thiamin pyrophosphate (TPP) is an essential coenzyme that is synthesised by coupling of pyrimidine and thiazole moieties in bacteria. The previously detected thiamin-regulatory element, thi box was extended, resulting in a new, highly conserved RNA secondary structure, the THI element, which is widely distributed in eubacteria and also occurs in some archaea. Lineage: Bacteria; Pseudomonadati; Pseudomonadota; Gammaproteobacteria; Oceanospirillales; Oceanospirillaceae. RNAcentral also lists the same sequence under 1 other name. The record is from Rfam by way of RNAcentral.